AGAUACUUAGAAAUCAUCUGGUCCAAGCCCCCGGCUCAGAGAUGAGGACAGGGAGCCCCAGAGACCACUCGACUUGACCAAGGACACAGGAGGCUCAGGGCAGACCUGGGAGUCUCUGGGACGUGCUUGGACCUGGGCCUGUGGGACAAGGAUGAAAUCAUCAACACUGGACCCACCCUAACUCUGGUGAAAUAGGACAAGUUCUGGUCAAGAGUGGGCACUUGGACAUUGUGCCAGAGUGACAGAUCACUUGAGUUCAGAAGCAGGAAGUUUGCAAAUUCUGUUGUGGACACCAGUGCAUGUAGGUCCCUGGAAGGCACACGCUCUCUGACAUUUCCUAGAGACUGCAAUGCUUUAACUCAAGAAAGAAAUUCCUCCUAGCAAAAUCACCCUUGGGAGAGAAUGUUGGUCCUUACAGGCCAACAGUGGCUGCUCUCCCAAGGUGUUCCUUCUGGGCAAGUGGAGAGACACAGCCCCAGCAAAGAAGCCCGUGUGCUGCCUCUAGAGCCACUGGCCUCAUUUGAAUCUUCCUGAGUCUUUGAGGAUCUGGGAAGAACAUCAUCACCCCAUCUGCCCCACGAUGAUGGCCAUCCUGCGGUGAGGGUGGCUGGGGAACUGUCCCCUACCCUGCAUGGUGGGUGUGGGGGAAGGUCGGUCUGACCUGCAGCCAUCCACCUGCACCUAGACAUUCUCACCUGCUGGCUAACUCUUUACUUUUCUAGGACUGUUCCAGAAUCCCCGGGAAAGUGUGGGAAACAUUGGGCUCCACAAUCUCUGUGGACUAAUCUCAGGAUCUUCAUCCAUCAAAUGGGGGCAGCCCACCUGGCCUCCACUUGCUCCCUCCUGCGAGCGCAGAUGUGAUGACACUCCAGGGCAGCCAGGGCAGCAGCCGCUUCCCUGCCGUCUCCACAAGGACUGUU
Molecule: long non-coding RNA, 920 nt
Filed under: Canis lupus familiaris (dog)
Lineage: Eukaryota; Metazoa; Chordata; Mammalia; Carnivora; Canidae
Description: lncRNA (ENSCAFG00805003517.1, ENSCAFG00845028763.1)
Source: RNAcentral